AAAACGCUGCUUGCUUGCAAAUGAGGAGGCCGCUAGGCAUUUGCCUAGAACUACAACCUUUCUCCGGUUUCGCCUUUUUUUUAACCCUGAUUUUUUUUUUUUUUUCCAUUCUGGAGGGCGGUUCAGCGAGGAAGAAUGCCUCCAACCCAGCCCAAUCCAGGCCAGUACGCACUCACCAACGGGGACCCCCUCAACGGCCACUGCUACCUGUCCGGCUACAUCUCGCUGCUGCUGCGCGCCGAGCCCUACCCCACGUCGCGCUACGGCAGCCAGUGCAUGCAGCCCAACAACAUUAUGGGCAUCGAGAACAUCUGCGAGCUGGCCGCGCGCCUGCUCUUCAGCGCCGUCGAGUGGGCCCGCAACAUCCCCUUCUUCCCGGAUCUGCAGAUCACCGACCAGGUGUCCCUGCUACGCCUCACCUGGAGCGAGCUGUUCGUGCUCAACGCGGCCCAGUGCUCUAUGCCGCUGCACGUGGCGCCGCUGCUGGCCGCCGCCGGCCUGCAUGCCUCGCCCAUGUCCGCCGACCGCGUCGUGGCCUUCAUGGACCACAUCCGCAUCUUCCAGGAACAGGUGGAGAAGCUCAAGGCGCU
This 590-nucleotide small RNA is filed under the name Pongo abelii (Sumatran orangutan). Its description in RNAcentral is "processed transcript". The record is from RNAcentral. Lineage: Eukaryota; Metazoa; Chordata; Mammalia; Primates; Hominidae.